UGCCAGACUCCUACGGGAGGCAGCAGUGGGGAAUAUUGCACAAUGGGGGAAACCCUGAUGCAGCGACGCCGCGUGAGUGAAGAAGUAUUUCGGUAUGUAAAGCUCUAUCAGCAGGGAAGAAAAUGACGGUACCUGAUUAAGAAGCCCCGGCUAACUACGUGCCAGCAGCCGCGGUAAUACGUAGGGGGCAAGCGUUAUCCGGAUUUACUGGGUGUAAAGGGAGCGUAGACGGCAGCGCAAGUCUGGAGUGAAAGGCGGGGGCCCAACCCCCGGACUGCUCUGGAAACUGUGUAACUGGAGUGCAGGAGAGGCAGGCGGAAUUCCUAGUGUAGCGGUGAAAUGCGUAGAUAUUAGGAGGAACACCAGUGGCGAAGGCGGCCUGCUGGACUGUAACUGACGUUGAGGCUCGAAAGCGUGGGGAGCAAACAGGAUUAGAUACCCCCGUACG
Molecule: ribosomal RNA, 448 nt
Filed under: uncultured bacterium
Lineage: Bacteria
Description: bacterial SSU rRNA
Rfam family: Bacterial small subunit ribosomal RNA
Source: RNAcentral